Molecule: ribosomal RNA, 253 nt
Filed under: uncultured bacterium
Lineage: Bacteria
Description: partial 16S ribosomal RNA
Rfam family: Bacterial small subunit ribosomal RNA
Source: RNAcentral
UACGAAGGGGGCUAGCGUUGCUCGGAAUCACUGGGCGUAAAGGGCGCGUAGGCGGCCUCUUACGUCGGGGGUGAAAGCCCAGGGCUCAACCCUGGAAUUGCCUUCGAUACUGAGAGUCUUGAGUUCGGAAGAGGUUGGUGGAACUGCGAGUGUAGAGGUGAAAUUCGUAGAUAUUCGCAAGAACACCAGUGGCGAAGGCGGCCAACUGGUCCGAUACUGACGCUGAGGCGCGAAAGCGUGGGGAGCAAACAGG